This 377-nucleotide ribosomal RNA is filed under the name uncultured Chloroflexota bacterium. RNAcentral describes it as "bacterial SSU rRNA". It matches the Rfam family "Bacterial small subunit ribosomal RNA", at positions 521 to 896 of the family's 1533-position model. Lineage: Bacteria; Bacillati; Chloroflexota. The record is from RNAcentral.
UAAAACGUGGGAGGCGAGCGUUAUCCGGAAUUAUUGGGCGUAAAGGGCCCGCAGGCGGCACAUUAAGUCAGAUGUGAAAUCUCCCGGCUCAACUGGGAGGGGACAUUUGAAACUGAUGAGCUUGAGGACAGCAGGGGGAAGCGGAACUCCCGGUGUAGCGGUGAUAUGCGUAGAUAUCGGGAGGAACACCAGUGGCGAAGGCGGCUUCCUGGGCUGUUUCUGACGCUGAGGGGCGAAAGCGUGGGGAGCAAACCGGAUUAGAUACCCGGGUAGUCCACGCCGUAAACGAUGGAUACUAGGUAUGGGGGGUAUCGACCCCUCCCGUGCCGAAGCUAACGCCAUAAGUAUCCCGCCUGGGGACUACGGCCGCAAGGCUA